GACGAACGCUGGCGGCGUGCUUAACACAUGCAAGUCGAACGGAAAGGCCCUGCUUUCGUGGGGUGCUCGAGUGGCGAACGGGUGAGUAACACGUGUGUAACCUGCCCUUCACUUUGGGAUAACUUCAGGAAACUGGGUCUAAUACCGGAUAGGAGCUCCUGCUGCAUGGUGGGGGUUGGAAAGUUUCGGCGGUUGGGGAUGGACUCGCGGCUUAUCAGCUUGUUGGUGGGGUAGUGGCUUACCAAGGCUUUGACGGGUAGCCGGCCUGAGAGGGUGACCGGCCACAUUGGGACUGAGAUACGGCCCAGACUCCUACGGGAGGCAGCAGUGGGGAAUAUUGCACAAUGGGCGGAAGCCUGAUGCAGCAACGCCGCGUGCGGGAUGACGGCCUUCGGGUUGUAAACCGCUUUCGCCUGUGACGAAGCGAGAGUGACGGUAAUGGGUAAAGAAGCACCGGCUAACUACGUG
RNAcentral lists this ribosomal RNA (468 nucleotides) under uncultured bacterium. RNAcentral's name for it is "partial 16S ribosomal RNA". It matches the Rfam family "Bacterial small subunit ribosomal RNA", at positions 28 to 507 of the family's 1533-position model. The record is from RNAcentral.